Molecule: long non-coding RNA, 577 nt
Organism: Pyrus x bretschneideri (Chinese white pear)
Lineage: Eukaryota; Viridiplantae; Streptophyta; Magnoliopsida; Rosales; Rosaceae
Exons: 3
Source: RefSeq, a predicted model, not a curated record
GAGCUUUCGAGGCUUUUUCCGGCGAAUCCACGGCGAGUUAGGGGUCGAGGCAGAAAUUCCGGCAAAACACCCACCUCCGGCGAAACCAGUCCGGCGACGCGAGGAAGAAGACGCGCGCGUGGGCAGCGCGUAGACUGGGCGCGUGGAGGCGCGUGAGAGCUCCAAAUUGCGUUCUGAAAAUUGUCACGUGUUCGUGACGUCGUGUAGAUCACCGUGGUAUAUUCACACACUCAAAUCGAGCAACGUAUGAGAAAGUUAUUGACGAAUGUUUGGUGUAUGCGCGUUAAAUAACGAUAAUUUGGUUACUUUUUGUAUAGGUGAAAAUUAUACAGAAGAAGAAUGUAACCAAUCUAGGGGAGGCUCAGGGACCCACGAGACGUCGAUGUGAUCAGUUUAAGAUAUCAGAGCUUGGUGGCUACGAGGAAUCCAACGGUGUUCUGACAGAAUGGACAAAAAUUAGGACUCACUUUUGGGUGUUUCAUCUUAGAAAUUGUAUCUUUAAAGCUUCCGUACUGUGUAAAUGGUUACGUCACUCUCACGUGACGGCCAGCAUGCCCUCCUUCGGGACGGGGUGUGU